RNAcentral lists this antisense RNA (69 nucleotides) under Kibdelosporangium phytohabitans. Its description in RNAcentral is "Kibdelosporangium sp. KLBMP 1111 ASpks TB sRNA". It matches the Rfam family "ASpks TB sRNA". Lineage: Bacteria; Bacillati; Actinomycetota; Actinomycetes; Pseudonocardiales; Pseudonocardiaceae. The record is from Rfam by way of RNAcentral.
CUUCACCGUGCCCAGCCACAGUGGACGGUCCCGGUUCUGGCCGUAGGUCGCCAGCAACGCGUGUGCUUC